RNAcentral lists this long non-coding RNA (300 nucleotides) under Prunus persica (peach). Its description in RNAcentral is "long non-coding RNA (PPER_LNC007069)". Lineage: Eukaryota; Viridiplantae; Streptophyta; Magnoliopsida; Rosales; Rosaceae. The record is from RNAcentral.
UAUAACUGGUUAAGCAUAAUCUUCCAAAGCUCGAUUUUCAUCGUUAUUGUCAGCCAUCUCUUCUUCUCUAUCAGAAUUAGAGUUAUCGAAAGAAUCUACACUCGUUGGGCCAGAAGAACUAUUGUCCUCUUCUACACUGCUAGUUUGGGCACUAGCUGAUAUAGACUUCUCAAAAGUGUUGCUCUUCAACCGUUCAAGUCUUUGGCCUAUCUCAGCAAGUGUAUCUGACAUAUACUACCUGAGAAACAAAAAUAAAACGAAAUUAGGGUUUGAGAAAAAGCAAUUAUAGAGGACUGAAAU